This is a long non-coding RNA of Mesocricetus auratus (golden hamster), 538 nucleotides long. RefSeq lists it as uncharacterized. Lineage: Eukaryota; Metazoa; Chordata; Mammalia; Rodentia; Cricetidae. The transcript is spliced from 3 exons. The record is from RefSeq and is a predicted model, not a curated record.
CAGUUCUACCCACCCAGCCGUGGCUACCCCCAAGAAGCCGUGAUCGGGAGCCCUGAGCUCCCCCAGCUCUGCUUCCCACGCCGUGGCCAACAACGAAGGCAGAAACCUGGGAACCUGCUAAGCAGGUCAGAACAGGAGGCUGCCUCUGUCCACAUCCAUGUGGGUAUUAUCUGCAUGUGUCCAAGCAUCCACUUAAACUGGUCUCAGUCCCCAUGGAAGGCUGCACACCUAAGCCAAACCGGUUGGAGAGGGUUAUGCUGAAAUUUCUGUUUGUGACAAUGGGACCUGAGCGUUUCAACAGAAAGCCGCGGGUGCUGACUGGCAUAGUAGAAGAAUUCUGAUCGUUGGACUUGAUUCUAUCCCCGGGACUGAGGCUACAGCGGGUGGCUUCACACUCACUUCUACUGCUCCUCCAUAGGAUGCUUCUCCACUUCCGGAGAUUUAGAGACAUUCCCCCUGUCCCCCAAUACAUAACACAGGGCCUCCAGGAGCCCUUCCUACAUUGAAAAUGCCUUUGCUCCCCCACCCCCAGCUUAAA